UCGGGAAUUUUGGGCAAUGGGCGAAAGCCUGACCCAGCAACGCCGCGUGAAGGAUGAAGUAUUUCGGUAUGUAGACUUCGAAAGAAUAGGAAGAAUAAAUGACGGUACUAUUUAUAAGGUCCGGCUAACUACGUGCCAGCAGCCGCGGUAAUACGUAGGGACCAAGCGUUGUUCGGAUUUACUGGGCGUAAAGGGCGCGUAGGCGGCAAUUCAAGUCAUCUGUGAAAUCUCCGGGCUUAACUCGGAACGGUCAGAUGAUACUGCUUUGCUAGAGUGCAGAAGGGGCAAUCGGAAUUCUUGGUGUAGCGGUGAAAUGCGUAGAUAUCAAGAGGAACACCUGAGGUGAAGACGGGUUGCUGGGCUGACACUGACGCUGAGGCGCGAAAGCCAGGGGAGCAAACGGGAUUAGAUACCCCAGUAGUCCCUGAGCGGGCUGGCAAGGCGCAU
Molecule: ribosomal RNA, 447 nt
Filed under: uncultured bacterium
Lineage: Bacteria
Description: bacterial SSU rRNA
Rfam family: Bacterial small subunit ribosomal RNA
Source: RNAcentral